This 78-nucleotide transfer RNA is filed under the name candidate division SR1 bacterium. Its description in RNAcentral is "tRNA-Tyr". It matches the Rfam family "tRNA". From Rfam's summary of the family: Transfer RNA (tRNA) molecules are approximately 80 nucleotides in length. The record is from RNAcentral. Lineage: Bacteria; Candidatus Absconditibacteriota.
CCGGAGUUGGCCGAGUGGACAAUGGCAACAGACUGUAAAUCUGUCAAAUCCCUGGUUCGAAUCCAGGACUCCGGACCA